CCUGUGUUUCUUUACAAGGUUUGAAGGAGAAGUUCUGCAGGACUUUGACAAGGGCAAGUUUCAUGCUCGUGGUCGCAAACCUCAUCCCAAUGCAGUUUCGGGGCCCAGUUCCAAAAGGCAGUAUCUGUGCUCAAAGCUGAUUCCUCUUCAGCACACCACAGAACACCAACACCCUGUUCUGCACUGCCAGGAACACCAUCCUUUCUUCCCUACACCCCUGCUAAGGCUCCUGAAAGACCCACUCUGUCUCAUCUCCACUGAACUGGGAUUGCUCUGAGGACUCACUCAUUUCUGGAAAAUGUGAGCUACCUCUUCGUGGCUAGCCCAUCGGAGUUUAACACCACACGCCUACUUCAGCUUGUUUGCUGGAGUAACUCAACAGUGAGAACUGGGCUUUAUGGCAGCAGCUGGAAAGUGUCAUGACAGAGUUGGAAUCCCAGCAACUGGACUCCUACUUACUCUUUCAAGUUGAUAGGUUUGCCUUUCUCUGCCUCCUUCCUCAGGUUCCUCACCAACAUAUCUCCGUACUGGCCAAUGAUGGGGAACAUCUAUACACAAAAUAUACCACCACCUGAAGUUAAAUUGGAAAAUCAAGUCCCAGAAUGAUCUGGCUUUCACAAACAUGGAGCAGUAUGGGACUUU
This is a long non-coding RNA of Lutra lutra (Eurasian river otter), 642 nucleotides long. RefSeq lists it as uncharacterized. Lineage: Eukaryota; Metazoa; Chordata; Mammalia; Carnivora; Mustelidae. The transcript is spliced from 3 exons. The record is from RefSeq and is a predicted model, not a curated record.